RNAcentral lists this ribosomal RNA (323 nucleotides) under uncultured bacterium. RNAcentral describes it as "bacterial SSU rRNA". It matches the Rfam family "Bacterial small subunit ribosomal RNA", at positions 470 to 793 of the family's 1533-position model. The record is from RNAcentral.
UGACGGUACCUUAGGAGGAAGCCCCGGCUAACUACGUGCCAGCAGCCGCGGUAAUACGUAGGGGGCAAGCGUUAUCCGGAAUCACUGGGCGUAAAGGGUGCGUAGGCGGCUUAGCAAGCCAGGGGUGAAAGGCAUUGGCUCAACCAAUGUAAGCCUUUGGAACUGUUAAGCUUGAGUGCAGGAGAGGUAAGUGGAAUUCCUAGUGUAGAGGUGAAAUUCGUAGAUAUUAGGAGGAACACCAGUGGCGAAGGCGACUUACUGGACUGUAACUGACGCUGAUGCACGAAAGCGUGGGUAGCGAACAGGAUUAGAUACCCUGGUAG